UACCAGCUCUUCGAGUGGUGUGGAUGUUUAUUGGGCCUAAAGCAUCCGUAGCUGGCUGGGCAAGUCCCCUGUUAGAUCCACCGAUUUAAUCGUUGGAGUGCGGGGGAUACUGUUCGGCUAGGGGACGGGAGAGGCAGACGGUAUUUUCGGGGUAGGGGUGAAAUCCUAUGAUCCCGAGAAGACCACCAGUGGCGAAGGCUGUCUGCUAGAACGCGCCCGACGGUGAGGGAUGAAAGCUGGGGGAGCGAACCGGAUUAGAUACCCGGGUAGUCCCAGCUGUAAACGAUGCAGGCUAGGUGUUUGGACGGCCACGUGCCGUUCUAGUGCCGCAGGGAAGCCGUUAAGCCUGCCGCCUGGGGAGUACGGCCGCAAGGCUAGAAACUUAAAGGAAUUGGGCGGGGGAGCACCACAAUGGGUGAAGCUUGCGGUUU
Molecule: ribosomal RNA, 431 nt
Filed under: uncultured archaeon
Lineage: Archaea
Description: bacterial SSU rRNA
Rfam family: Archaeal small subunit ribosomal RNA
Source: RNAcentral